CUGUCAUGGCCCCUUCAAUACAAAAUCCAGGAUUUAAGAAGAUUAAAAUAAAAUCAAACAAAUAUUUAUUAUAUAGCAGUACAAAUUAAUGUACAAUAUACAUGUACUCUUUAGCCUUCAAGAUUUCUCCAUGCACAUGUGCUGCACAUUAAUACAAGAGAUCGUCCUCAUUCCCUCCCGACACUUUAUGGUAUUCUUUUCUGAAUCGUUGCAUAUGGAAGAUAGCAUCAGUUAAAGAAAAGGGGAUGUCGCAAAUGUAUUGUAGGAUGAACAUUUGAUGAUGAAUCUUAAUUAAUACAAAAAUGGCAAACUAUAUAUAAUAUAUAAAAUACUAUACGUUGCAAAAAGGGUCCAAUCCGACGACUGUAUAAUUUAGAAAAAGAAAAGAAAAGGCAAUGAGAUUGAGAGCACGUUAAAGAAAAGAGAAAAACAAAAUGAUUGAGUGGAGAGAUGGCAAAGAGCAAAAGGGGAGGGCCAUACUUCUGUAAGGUGUAUGUAUAUGGCGCCAUAGAAACAAAAUGGUGCCGCAUUACAAGGACCCUCCCUCCCUGUAAUAAUAAUAAUAAUAAUAAUAAUAAUAGUAUGCAUGCAGAUGCAGGAUGCAGAAACGAGAGAGACUGAUUGAUUGAACCAACAGGCUCAGGCUCAGGCUCAGGAUUUUCUUACGC
This 668-nucleotide long non-coding RNA is filed under the name Ricinus communis (castor bean). RNAcentral describes it as "long non-coding RNA (RCOM_LNC001491)". The record is from RNAcentral. Lineage: Eukaryota; Viridiplantae; Streptophyta; Magnoliopsida; Malpighiales; Euphorbiaceae.